AAUGGGGGCAACCCUGAUGCAGCCAUGCCGCGUGUGUGAAGAAGGCCUUCGGGUUGUAAAAGCACUUUCAGUUGUGAGGAAAAGUURGUAGUUAAUACCUGCUAGCCGUGACGUUAACAUCAGAAGAAGCACCGGCUAACUCCGUGCCAGCAGCCGCGGUAAUACGGAGGGUGCGAGCGUUAAUCGGAAUUACUGGGCGUAAAGCGCRCGCAGGCGGUUUKUUMAGYUAGAUGUGAAAGCCCCGGGCUCAACCUGGGAAGKUCAUUUGAACUGGCAGACUAGAGUCUUGUAGAGGGGAGUGGAAUUUCCGGUGUAGCGGUGAAAUGCGUAGAUAUCUGGAGGAACAUCAGUGGCGAAGGCGACUCCCUGGMCURAUACUGACGCUCAUGUGCGAAAGUGUGGGKAGCGAACAGGAUUAGAUACCCUGGUAGUCCACACCGUAAACGMUGUCUACUAGCYGUGGGUGCACUWRAUGCGUGCAGUGGCGCAGCUAACGCGCUAAGUAGACCGCCUGGG
RNAcentral lists this ribosomal RNA (516 nucleotides) under uncultured Alteromonas sp. Its description in RNAcentral is "partial 16S ribosomal RNA". It matches the Rfam family "Bacterial small subunit ribosomal RNA", at positions 370 to 877 of the family's 1533-position model. Lineage: Bacteria; Pseudomonadati; Pseudomonadota; Gammaproteobacteria; Alteromonadales; Alteromonadaceae. The record is from RNAcentral.